Molecule: ribosomal RNA, 474 nt
Filed under: uncultured bacterium
Lineage: Bacteria
Description: SSU rRNA
Rfam family: Bacterial small subunit ribosomal RNA
Source: RNAcentral
AGGAUGAACGCUGGCGGCGUGCCUAACACAUGCAAGUCGAACGUCCUGUCUCGCAAGAGGCAGGGAGUGGCGGACGGGUGAGUACCACGUGGGUCAUCUACCGUGAGGUGAGGAAUACCGGCGAGAAAUCGCCGACAAGACCGCAUAGGCUCGAUGCAAGUCGAGCAAAGCUCUUUCGAGAGAGGGAGCGCCACACGAGGAGCCUGCGCCCGAUUAGCUAGCUGGUGGAGUAACGGUUCACCAGGGCGACGAUCGGUAGCUGGUCUGAGAGGACGAUCAGCCACACUGGGAUUGAGAACGGCCCAGACUCCUACGGGGGCAGCAGUGAGGAAUUUUCGUCAAUGGGGGCAACCCUGAACGAGCAACGCCGCGUGCAGGAGAAGGUUUUCGGAUCGUAAACUGCUUUUCUCGGGGAAGAGAACGGACGGUACCCGAGGAAUCAGCCCCGGCUAACUACGCGCCAGCAACCGCGGU